GACGAACGCUGGCGGCGUGCCUAAUACAUGCAAGUCGAGCGGAGUUAUGAAGGAGCUUGCUCCCGAUUAACUUAGCGGCGGACGGGUGAGUAACACGUAGGCAACCUGCCCCUAAGACUGGGAUAACUACCGGAAACGGUAGCUAAUACCGGAUAAUCUCUUCCUUCUCCUGAGGGAAGAAUGAAAGGCGGAGCAAUCUGCUACUUGGGGAUGGGCCUGCGGCGCAUUAGCUAGUUGGCGGGGUAACGGCCCACCAAGGCGACGAUGCGUAGCCGACCUGAGAGGGUGAACGGCCACACUGGGACUGAGACACGGCCCAGACUCCUACGGGAGGCAGCAGUAGGGAAUCUUCCGCAAUGGGCGCAAGCCUGACGGAGCAACGCCGUGUGAGUGAUGAAGGUUUUCGGAUCGUAAAGCUCUGUUGCCAGGGAAGAACGUCCGGUAGAGUAACUGCUGCCCGGAAGUGACGGUACCUGAGA
RNAcentral lists this ribosomal RNA (479 nucleotides) under Paenibacillus sp. oral taxon E94. RNAcentral's name for it is "bacterial SSU rRNA". It matches the Rfam family "Bacterial small subunit ribosomal RNA", at positions 28 to 484 of the family's 1533-position model. The record is from RNAcentral. Lineage: Bacteria; Bacillati; Bacillota; Bacilli; Caryophanales; Paenibacillaceae.